Molecule: non-coding RNA, 366 nt
Organism: Labrus bergylta (ballan wrasse)
Lineage: Eukaryota; Metazoa; Chordata; Actinopteri; Labriformes; Labridae
Source: the annotation of a RefSeq genome assembly
AUGAACAAUAAACUGGACUGGAAGCACCACACAGUGGCUGUCUACAAGAAGGCUGCUCAAGGCCAGUCCCUCACCUCCUCAGAGCCAGUGGUCAGCAGGGCAGGAGAACCAGCCACUCUGUACUGUAAUGUCAAUGGACUUGCUCUUUCUUGGCUGCACUGGAUUCGUCAGAAAACGGGGAAAGGACUGGAAUGGAUCGGACGCAUUGAUAGCGGAACUGGCACAAUAUUUGCCCAAAAUCUCCAAGGCCAGUUUUCCAUCACAAAGGACACAUCGAACAAUGUUGUGUACUUAGAGGUGAAGAGUCUUAAACAAGAAGACUCUGCUGUUUAUUUCUGUGCACGAGAGCCACAGUUACACAGCUGA